RNAcentral lists this ribosomal RNA (253 nucleotides) under uncultured bacterium. RNAcentral's name for it is "partial 16S ribosomal RNA". It matches the Rfam family "Bacterial small subunit ribosomal RNA", at positions 524 to 776 of the family's 1533-position model. The record is from RNAcentral.
UACGGAGGGUGCGAGCGUUGUCCGGAAUCAUUGGGCGUAAAGGGCGCGUAGGUGGCCCCUCAAGCGUGCGGUGAAAGUCAGGGGCUCAACCCCUGAUCGGCCGUGCGAACUGGGGAGCUUGAGCACUGUAGAGGCAGGCGGAAUUCCGGGUGUAGUGGUGAAAUGCGUAGAGAUCCGGAGGAACCCCAGAGGCGAAGGCGGCGUCCUGGCUCACAACUGACGCUCAUACACGACAGCAUGGGGAGCGAACGGG